Molecule: long non-coding RNA, 751 nt
Filed under: Chinchilla lanigera (long-tailed chinchilla)
Lineage: Eukaryota; Metazoa; Chordata; Mammalia; Rodentia; Chinchillidae
Description: lncRNA (ENSCLAG00000024828.1)
Source: RNAcentral
AUGUGUUUAGAUACAUAAUUGAUACUCAUUCUCAUACAAACUCCUUCUUAUCUUUUUCAGACUGGUAAAAAACUGUUCCUGGCCCAGUUCUGACACAUGGACAACUGGAAUAGCUUUGCUGAAGCUUAAAAAUGAGGGUAUUGUUCUUGUCUGCCAGAUACAGGACAAUUCAUCUCUUUCCCUAUGCCCAGGAAGAGGCAUGAAGCAGAAAAGAGCUAUACAGGCCUUUCUUCCUUUGAAGGAGAGGCUGUUGCUGGCUCUGGGCUGCUGCUGCAUUUGAUCAAGGCUUUUCUGCAUCACAUCUCAUGCCAGGUUGUGUGCGCAUUUGCCCUAUCACGGCAUAAGAUUGGUGUUUCUUAAGAGGCUGUUGCUAUAGCAUUUGGACGACGUGAUUAGACAACACUAAGGUAAUCAUUUCAAAACUGGAGGCUGUCUGGCAUUAUCAGCCACAUCUCAACAGGAAGGAAAUUACCAAAAAUUAGUUUGGUCUCUUCUGAGUUCUUAUGAAGGAGAGUUCUCCUUUGACCCUAUUUAGCUAUGUAUAUUUCUUCCACCAUUAUUUUAGAAAAAUAAAAAUAUUAGAAAUAAUGUGUUUCUGUUCUGUUCCAAAUUGAGUCACAAUUUGUAACUUGUCCAGUUAAGAUAAAUGGACAAAACUAUCAUUUCAUCCUUGUCUAAAGAGCUAAUCAGGUACAUGACAUAAAGGAAUCGACUGUCUCUGCUAAAGAAGUGAAAUAUUGGAGGAGAUAAU